CGCCAUGGGUCUGUGGUGUCCCUUACCCACUGGGGGGGCUCGGCAGCCUGAGGAGCUCCCUCUUCCUGAGGCAGAGCCCUCACUGCUCACUGCCAUGGAGGAGGCAGGAGAUCCCGCCGGACCCCGCUUGGAGGGCUGGGCCUGGAGCAUGCAUGGGUGCGGGGUCAACGCCUCAGGAGACUUGGAGCUUGGGAGCCCCCUGUUCUGGGACACUUGUGGCCGUCCAGCUGCUGCCCUGGGAAUCCACACCUGGAAGGAAGCUCUUCGUGGGCGGUCUUGACUGGAGCACGACCCAAGAGACUCUGCGCAGCUACUUUUCCCAAUAUGGAGAAGUCGUAGAUUGUGUUAUCAUGAAAGAUAAAACCACCAACCAGUCUCGAGGCUUUGGGUUUGUCAAAUUUAAAGACCCAAACUGUGUGGGGACGGUGCUGGCCAGCAGACCGCACACGCUAGAUGGCCGAAACAUCGACCCCAAGCCAUGCACACCCCGGGGGAUGCAGCCGGAGAG
RNAcentral lists this small RNA (508 nucleotides) under Pan troglodytes (chimpanzee). RNAcentral describes it as "processed transcript". The record is from RNAcentral. Lineage: Eukaryota; Metazoa; Chordata; Mammalia; Primates; Hominidae.